Oncorhynchus kisutch (coho salmon) is the source of this 4086-nucleotide RNA transcript. It is a transcript of the gene named renalase-like, with no coding region annotated. The record is from RefSeq and is a predicted model, not a curated record. NCBI's taxonomy places the organism in Eukaryota, Metazoa, Chordata, Actinopteri, Salmoniformes, Salmonidae. The transcript has 7 exons.
AGUUGAACUCAAUGUCACGAGUUCUUAUAGUUGGUGCAGUUUAUGCGCUUGUCUUCUGCGAAGAGAAAUGCCAAACAAAGUUAUUGUUGUCUGGGACAAAUCGCGAGGAGCAGUUUCUAUGAAGAGCUGCUGGCCCAUGGUGUUCUGAAGCCACUGUUGUCCUCAGUGGAAGGCGAGGUGAUGGAUGGAGGCCAUAAAAACUAUGUCACUCCCAACAGGAGUGUCGUCCAUCGUCAACCAUUUCCUCAAGCAGUCAGUGAGGUGCAGAGGUGUUAUUUAACCACCAAGUCACCCACAUCUACCAGAAUGGCGCGAGCUGGAAGGUGUGUCGGAAGGGCACGGCCACGGAGCAGUUUGACGCUGUGGUCCUCACCGAGGCCAUACCGUAGAUCCUACAGCUGCAAGGAGACGUGGGCUCCUUGCUAGAGGAGAUUCCGCGGCAGCAGCUUGGGGCGGUAAGCUACUCGUCGGCGCUAUGCGCUGGGCCUCUUCUACAAAGGCCCAGGCUCACUUCGACGUCCCCUGGGCCGCCAAGUACGUCUCUAAUAAUCCCUGCAUUCGCUUCAUCGCCAUCGACGAUCAAAAGCGCAAUUUAGAAUUCCCAGAGUGCUGUCCCUCCAUGGUGGUCCACAUCAGUGUUCCAUUUGGUGUCAAACACCUGGAGGAGGCCAAGGAGCAGGUGGAGCCUAUCAUCCUGGUGAAGCUGAACAAGCUGCUGCCUGGCUUGCCACAGCCUGACAGCAUCAAGUGCCAGAAGUGGAGAUACUCACAGGUGAGAGGGGUUACUCAAACAGGAGUUUUACUGUAUUACUUAAUCGAGUGAGGAGAGAUAAUACCAGGAGUUUUACUGUAUUACUUCAUCGAGUGAGGAGAGAUAAGACCAGGAUUUUUACUGUAUUACUUCAUCGAGUGAGGAGAGAAAAUACCAGAAGUUUUAUUUCAUUCACUCAUUGAGAGAAGAGGAAGAGUUUUUUUCCUUCUUCAUAGAAACUUUAAGAGAUAAUAACUGUUGCUACUUCACAGUCCUGUCAAGAUACAUGGAAAGAAGGUCAGAGGGUUAGACUCGGUUCAGUAAAACUCAUCGUCUGUGUAAAGAACGUUGAUGAGUGACAUGCUGUGUCGAUCAUGAUCACGCCGUACUAAACUUAAACGUAUUGCGUUUUUCUGCUUCUGUAUACCACAUGAGUGUAGUGUACGGAGACUGCUUGGACAUGGUGUUCCUUUUUCAAGUAGCUCCAAUGUCCUGUUUACUGUGAUGUUUCCCUGGAUCUCUAUGUUCCUCUUGGACCAGAUACUGUGACUUUAUUUACAUUAUUUAUGUCCAGCAAGAAUAUGUCCUCCAAGGGCUCUCGUAGCUGUUCAUCACUCUUCUGUAGUGAUUGAAGUACACACUCGGCGAUUGCAUCACUCAAUCUCUUAAAUGUGCUCUCUCUCUCUCUCUCUCUCUCUCUCUCUCUCUCUCUCUCUCUCUCUCUCUUUCUCUUUCGCUCCAACACACACCCACACACGUUCUGCUAAGCGAGGCUGGGCUGGGCUGGGGGUCAGAGGCCACAGAACAUCUGUGUGGGAGGCCACAUCACUGGGAGUGCCAGAGCAUGGGCCAAGGCCCACUGGAACUGGAUGGGCCAUGAUAGAACACACACACACACACACACACGCACAUUUGUACUGUAACACACACACACACACAAGCACAUUUGUAUUAUAAUAUAGACACACACACAUUCAUAAUGGAAUGCGCAGACACACACACAUAUGCACACUCACUCAUACUGUACACACAUCAGCUCCCUGUCAAAUGCACUAGCAGUCAUUCUAACAAAGACCAUUGUGACAGAGAGACACAAAUGCAUGAUUGAACAGUUAUAUCAGUUUAACUGUUGCUAAAAUAUAGGAUAUAGGUUGCGUGCUCUUUAGAUUACUUCUCUUUUGAAGUAGACGUAUUCUCAGCUGCCGAAUUCUCUUGCUUUCCUUGCGAUAAAACGUGUUUAUAUUGGGGCGUUUAUCUUAAGGUCCCAAACCCUCCUCCUUGGCGCUCCGUGGUCUUUGCCUUGGGAAGUCAGCCUCACACUGUAUAUGGAGACGGCAGGGCCCAGGGCCACUUUAUCAACGUACCACUAGAGUGAACCAAACAAUUUGUCCAUGGCCACAUUUCAACAAAAAUGCUUAUCAUCAAUUGAUUUACAUGGUGAUGACCUUUUCAAGGAUGCAUGAGCAAACAAACAAUUAUGUUUUUGGGGAGGAGUGGGGAUGGAGGGAGGUGGAGGGUGGGGGUUAUGAUAGCAGCACAUAGUAGCCUAUAACGAUGCCUAUUAAAAGCCCCAGCAGGAAAUGGAUACUAUUUCCUUACCCUUAGCGGUGCAGGGCAGCGUACCUCGAUGUUUAUCCAUCUGCUGCCUCUCCUCUUAGUACAGGCCUCUGACAGAAGCUACGACACGUACACCGGCUUGUGUGUUUACACUCCCAAGUCAUUAACACACUUAACUCUCAGCAUUCAGGAUUUAAACAUGAGGAAGACAGUUGGCCGCAAGGCUGAUUUGAUAUCUGCCUGUCUGGCCAAAGGCGGUGCAUUUUAUGGCUUGAUCUGUGGUAUCCCAUCACGUUCAUCCAGAGGUAACUUGAGCACAGACAGUUUUUUGGAUUGCAGGAUAACUGUAGCACAAACAAAUCAUUGUCUCAAUACACAUUCUACUGUAGCUGUGGAAAUAGAUACAUCUGUGGCCAUGACAACAAUUUGGCUUCAGUAGUGUAGUAUACAAUCAAUGCGUCAUUUAUCAGUGAAGGGCAGUGAGCUGCCGAUUCCACUCAAUAGCUCAGCAGCAGCAUGAAGGUCUAAUCAGCCCUCUCUAUUGGGUCUAGUGACCGUUAGGGCCACUCCACCUGCUGCUCUAUGGCCCUUCUCCCUCUCUCUCUCUCUACCCCCCUCUCUUUCUCUACCCCACCACCCCCUCUCUCUUUCUCAACUAAUUAGGUGACGAGCUCGGUGGCCGACUGCCCAGGGCAGAUGACGCCGCUGUCCCAGCCUCUGUUGGUGUGUGGGGGCGACGGCUUCACACAUUCCAAUUUCGACGGCUGUAUCGAGUCUGCCCUGAAGAGAGCCCAAGCUGGGAUAACGAGAGAGGCGGUGCACAGCCCCAUGGGAGGUGACGUCACCAACAGCAGUCGGCUCUCUCUUUCUGUGGCAGGUCAGCUAAGGUCAGUGACAGUGUGAUCGCCUCAAGUGUGACCAGGGUCACCCGGAAGAGGACACUGGAAUCAGCCGUUUGACCAGGAAGUUCAGAGUCUGAAGGAACCAAUCAGAAGAGACCGAGGGUCUGAUCAUCGACUGAACUGAUGUCAACUGAUCUCAACUAACCUUUCAUUGCAUGCUGUUGCAUUUUUUUUUUUUUUGCAUUAGCUUUUGUGGCAUUUGAAUGUGUUAUAAAAAUACAUUAUAUCUAUCGCAUUAUCCACGUGUUCCCUAUAGGCUUUUUAGUAAGUAGCGAAUUAUCGUUAAUUCAAAAUUGAAUUUGAAUACCGUAGCUAAAUAGAAAUCCAUAUGACUGACACCAAACACAAGAGAGUAGAAUAUCACAAAAAAUUCAAAAACAUCUCUGCUCUUGACUGAGAGGUUCCCAAACCAGAAGGCAAUGUUGAAUGUAAGAACACUUUCAAUCUAGAAGUUGACUAGAGGGGUGAACCUAUGCCAGGGGUUAGGUAUCACCUCUACCUACUCCCAAAAUAGCCAUAUUGUACUCAUAGACCUCCAUGAACACAAUACACACACACCACACACGCUGAUAACAAUAGUCUUCAAUUAUUACACAGUUAUACUGUAUUUGUUACAGUCUCGGCUGUUGUAGUACUGUAUUUCACUGUUUUUUUUAUAUUUUUUUAUAUUUUUGUGGCAUAUCUUUGGGACUGCCAAUGUUCUUUCUGCCCAGUCUCAGAUCAACAUAGUGUUAUAGUUUACUGUAGUGUUAUAGUGUAUUGCAGUACUAUAGUGUUCUGUAGAAUUGUAGUCGGCUGUAGUGUUAUAGUGUACUGUAGUCUUGUAGUGUACUGUAGUCUUAUACUGUACUGUAGUAUUAUAGUGUACUAUUGUGU